Molecule: ribosomal RNA, 468 nt
Filed under: uncultured bacterium
Lineage: Bacteria
Description: partial 16S ribosomal RNA
Rfam family: Bacterial small subunit ribosomal RNA
Source: RNAcentral
GACGAACGCUGGCGGUGUGCCUAACACAUGCCAGUCGAACGGAAAGGCCCUGCUUUUGUGGGGUUCUCGAGUGCCGAACGGGUGAGUAACACGUGAGCAACCUGCCCUUGACUUUGGGAUAACUUCAGGAAACUGGGGCUAAUAUCGGAUAGCAUCCCCUGUUGCAUGGUGGGGGUUGGAAAGUCUCGGCGGUUGGGGCUGGACUCGCGGCUUACCAGCUUGUUGGUUGGGUAGUGGCAUACCAAGGCUUUGACGGGUAGCCGGCCUGUGAGGGUGACCGGCCACAUUGGGACUGAGAUACGGCGCAGACUCCUACGGGAGGCAGCAGUGGGGAAUAUUGCACAGUGAGCGGAAGCCUGAUGCGGCAGCGCCGCGUGCGGAAUGACGGCCUUCGGGUUGUGAAACGCUUUCGCCUGUGACGAAGCGUGAGUGACGGUAAUGAGUAAAGAAGCACCGGCUAACUACGUG